RNAcentral lists this non-coding RNA (80 nucleotides) under [Haemophilus] ducreyi 35000HP. Its description in RNAcentral is "Haemophilus ducreyi 35000HP Aggregatibacter sRNA 20". It matches the Rfam family "Aggregatibacter sRNA 20". Rfam says of the family: Validated by RT-PCR and Northern blot. Lineage: Bacteria; Pseudomonadati; Pseudomonadota; Gammaproteobacteria; Pasteurellales; Pasteurellaceae. The record is from Rfam by way of RNAcentral.
AUAAUAAGUGUUGUGUUAAACAACCCAUUUCAUAAAUUUGCUUUCCGAGUAGCCCUUAAUUCAGGGGCUUUUUUUAUCUA